UUUUUUUUUGCUGUUUUUUUU
RNAcentral lists this small RNA (21 nucleotides) under Arabidopsis thaliana (thale cress). RNAcentral's name for it is "ATSL142270". The record is from RNAcentral. Lineage: Eukaryota; Viridiplantae; Streptophyta; Magnoliopsida; Brassicales; Brassicaceae.